This 414-nucleotide ribosomal RNA is filed under the name uncultured microorganism. Its description in RNAcentral is "bacterial SSU rRNA". It matches the Rfam family "Archaeal small subunit ribosomal RNA", at positions 459 to 872 of the family's 1478-position model. The record is from RNAcentral.
CAGCCGCCGCGGUAAUACCGGCGGCCCGAGUGGCGGCCACUAUUAUUGGGCUUAAAGCGUCCGUAGCCGGGUUGGUUAGUCUCCCGGGAAAUCUGGCCGCUUAACGGUCAGAAUUCCGGGAGAUACUGCCAGCCUAGGGACCGGGAGAGGCCGAGGGUAUUCCCGGAGUAGGGGUGAAAUCCUAUAAUCCCGGGAGGACCACCUGUGGCGAAGGCGCUCGGCUGGAACGGGUCCGACGGUGAGGGACGAAGGCCAGGGGAGCAAACCGGAUUAGAUACCCGGGUAGUCCUGGCUGUAAACGAUGCGGACUAGGUGUCGGGCAAGCUAAGGGCUUGUCCGGUGCCGCAGGGAAGCCGUUAAGUCCGCCGCCUGGGGAGUACGGCCGCAAGGCUGAAACUUAAAGGAAUUGGCGGG